AGUCCCGCAACGAGCGCAACCCUUAUCCUUAGUUGCCAGCGCGUAAAGGCGGGAACUCUGGGGAGACUGCCGGUGAUAAACCGGAGGAAGGUGGGGACGACGUCAAGUCAUCAUGGCCCUUACGGGAUGGGCUACACACGUGCUACAAUGGCGCAUACAAUGGGAAGCUAACUCGCGAGAGUACGCGGAUCUCAAAAAGUGCGUCGUAGUCCGGAUUGGAGUCUGCAACUCGACUCCAUGAAGUCGGAAUCGCUAGUAAUCGUGGAUCAGAAUGCCACGGUGAAUACGUUCCCGGGCCUU
RNAcentral lists this ribosomal RNA (300 nucleotides) under uncultured bacterium. RNAcentral describes it as "bacterial SSU rRNA". It matches the Rfam family "Bacterial small subunit ribosomal RNA", at positions 1083 to 1382 of the family's 1533-position model. The record is from RNAcentral.